CUUCUAUUAUAUUUUCUGAUAGAAAAGGUGUUGACAGUUUUUGGAAUAAGCUAGUAAGGGUGAUGUCAUCCCAUGAGCCUUCAGGACACUGAGAUCAUCAAGGUCCCUGAAAAUGGUGACAGUG
RNAcentral lists this small nucleolar RNA (124 nucleotides) under Meriones unguiculatus (Mongolian gerbil). Its description in RNAcentral is "Small nucleolar RNA SNORA33 (ENSMUGG00000022979.1)". Lineage: Eukaryota; Metazoa; Chordata; Mammalia; Rodentia; Muridae. The record is from RNAcentral.